GGGCUACACACGUGCUACAAUGGCAUUUACAGAGGGAAGCGAGACAGUGAUGUGGAGCGGACCCCUUAAAGAAUGUCGUAGUCCGGAUUGGAGUCUGCAACUCGACUCCAUGAAGUCGGAAUCGCUAGUAAUCGCAGGUCAGAAUAAUGCGGUGAAUAGGUUGAUCGGGCCUCGUAC
RNAcentral lists this ribosomal RNA (177 nucleotides) under Alteromonas tagae. Its description in RNAcentral is "partial 16S ribosomal RNA". It matches the Rfam family "Bacterial small subunit ribosomal RNA", at positions 1211 to 1386 of the family's 1533-position model. Lineage: Bacteria; Pseudomonadati; Pseudomonadota; Gammaproteobacteria; Alteromonadales; Alteromonadaceae. The record is from RNAcentral.